RNAcentral lists this ribosomal RNA (498 nucleotides) under uncultured bacterium. RNAcentral's name for it is "partial 16S ribosomal RNA". It matches the Rfam family "Bacterial small subunit ribosomal RNA", at positions 30 to 523 of the family's 1533-position model. The record is from RNAcentral.
AUUGAACGCUGGCGGCAUGCUUUACACAUGCAAGUCGAACGGCAGCGCGGGGCAACCUGGCGGCGAGUGGCGAACGGGUGAGUAAUACAUCGGAACGUACCCAGAAGUGGGGGAUAACGUAGCGAAAGUUACGCUAAUACCGCAUACGUUCUACGGAAGAAAGUGGGGGAACGCAAGACCUCAUGCUUUUGGAGCGGCCGAUGUCUGAUUAGCUUGUUGGUGGGGUAAAGGCUCACCAAGGCGACGAUCAGUAGCUGGUCUGAGAGGACGACCAGCCACACUGGGACUGAGACACGGCCCAGACUCCUACGGGAGGCAGCAGUGGGGGAUGUUGGACAAUGGGCGCAAGCCUGAUCCAGCAAUGCCGCGUGAGUGAAGAAGGCCUUCGGGUUGUAAAGCUCUUUUGUCAGGGAAGAAACGGCUGAGGUUAAUACCUUUGGCUAAUGACGGGACCUGAAGAAUAAGCACCGGCUAACUACGUGCCAGCCGCCGCGGUAA